This 1346-nucleotide ribosomal RNA is filed under the name uncultured bacterium. RNAcentral's name for it is "bacterial SSU rRNA". It matches the Rfam family "Bacterial small subunit ribosomal RNA", at positions 28 to 1381 of the family's 1533-position model. The record is from RNAcentral.
GACGAACGCUGGCGGCGUGCUUAACACAUGCAAGUCGAACGGAAAGGCCCUGCUUUUGUGGGGUGCUCGAGUGGCGAACGGGUGAGUAACACGUGAGUAACCUGCCCUUGACUUUGGGAUAACUUCAGGAAACUGGGGCUAAUACCGGAUAGGAGCUCCUGCUGCAUGGUGGGGGUUGGAAAGUUUCGGCGGUUGGGGAUGGACUCGCGGCUUAUCAGCUUGUUGGUGGGGUAGUGGCUUACCAAGGCUUUGACGGGUAGCCGGCCUGAGAGGGUGACCGGCCACAUUGGGACUGAGAUACGGCCCAGACUCCUACGGGAGGCAGCAGUGGGGAAUAUUGCACAAUGGGCGGAAGCCUGAUGCAGCAACGCCGCGUGCGGGAUGACGGCCCUCGGGUUGUAAACCGCUUUCGCCUGUGACGAAGCGUGAGUGACGGUAAUGGGUAAAGAAGCACCGGCUAACUACGUGCCAGCAGCCGCGGUGAUACGUAGGGUGCGAGCGUUGUCCGGAUUUAUUGGGCGUAAAGGGCUCGUAGGUGGUUGAUCGCGUCGGAAGUGUAAUCUUGGGGCUUAACCCUGAGCGUGCUUUCGAUACGGGUUGACUUGAGGAAGGUAGGGGAGAAUGGAAUUCCUGGUGGAGCGGUGGAAUGCGCAGAUAUCAGGAGGAACACCAGUGGCGAAGGCGGUUCUCUGGGCCUUUCCUGACGCUGAGGAGCGAAAGCGUGGGGAGCGAACAGGCUUAGAUACCCUGGUAGUCCACGCUGUAAACGGUGGGUACUAGGUGUGGGGUCCAUUCCACGGGUUCCGUGCCGUAGCUAACGCUUUAAGUACCCCGCCUGGGGAGUACGGCCGCAAGGCUAAAACUCAAAGGAAUUGACGGGGCCCCGCACAAGCGGCGGAGCAUGCGGAUUAAUUCGAUGCAACGCGUAGAACCUUACCUGGGUUUGACAUGGAUCGGGAGUGCUCAGAGAUGGGUGUGCCUCUUUUGGGGUCGGUUCACAGGUGGUGCAUGCCUGUCGUCAGCUCGUGUCGUGAGAUGUUGGGUUAAGUCCCGCAACGAGCGCAACCCUUGUUCACUGUUGCCAGCACGUUAUGGUGGGGACUCAGUGGAGACCGCCGGGGUCAACUCGGAGGAAGGUGGGGAUGACGUCAAGUCCUCAUGCCCCUUAUGUCCAGGGCUUCACGCAUGCUACAAUGGCUGGUACAGAGAGUGGCGAGCCUGUGAGGGUGAGCGAAUCUCGGAAAGCCGGUCCCAGUUCGGAUUGGGGUCUGCAACUCGACCUCAUGAAGUCGGAGUCGCUAGUAAUCGCAGAUCAGCAACGCUGCGGUGAAUACGUUCCCGGGGCU